Molecule: long non-coding RNA, 1281 nt
Organism: Gambusia affinis (western mosquitofish)
Lineage: Eukaryota; Metazoa; Chordata; Actinopteri; Cyprinodontiformes; Poeciliidae
Exons: 3
Source: RefSeq, a predicted model, not a curated record
AUCAUAUCUCUGCCAACAGUCAGGUUAAGCACGCUGCCACGUUGCAACUGUUUUUUUUUUCUUUCCUCGCUCAUUAUUAUUAUUAUUAUUAAAGCUCCACUUUAAAUCAAGAUUUGGAUAAAGUCUGGAUAAAGAUUUGUUUCCAUUAUAUUAGGAAGGAUUGUGAAGCAGUCUGCUGGUAGGAGCGACUUGGACUGAAGCGCGUGCAGCUCUGCUGACUCACACCAUGUCACAGCUCCACUUUGCUCCGUCUGUAUGAAGCACUUGGCUGCUACCUUAAUGCAAGUUCUGGAUGCAUGAGGAGCAGAAACGGCCAUCGGCUGCAUGAAGCUGGUUUAAAUCUGCAGGGCACAAAUUAAAGUUUGAGAGGUCAGGCAGCCUGUAUGUCUCACACUGAAGUGUCUCUGAGUGAGGUUUUAUAUCCGACUCGCAUCUCCUGAACGGAAGCUGAGAUAAACUGCUGCUGUCAAGAUGGCCGGCCCUGAUUCGUCCCCCUUUACGGCUGAGGUGUGAUUCUGUCUCUCUCAGCAGAGCCGCAACCGCAAGCAAAUGCUCUGGGCCCUAAAGACGACGCCGGCCCUGAGGCUCGCCGCGUGAGAGCCGAGAUCAGAGAGGCGCUGCCCCGUUCUCCGUUCCUGCUCCAAAAGUGAAUUGAUUACAAGCGGCUGGCGCUUUUUGCUCGAAGAUCCCUAAGACUCUUGUUCUGAGGGAGAGAGUUUUUCAGCCUGCGUUGUUAUUUUUUUAUUUUAUUUUUCCUUUGCUCUUUGGUCAGAGAAGACUGUAAGUGCUGGAGGAGAUUUGUGCAGGACAAAUUAGCCUUACCAUAGAUAACCAUCCACCGAGUAGGGAAUAAGGUCACGCCUGAAGCCAUUAUGGGGACAUGAGAGGUUUUUCCUUGGCAAGAAACUGCCAAGUAUGCAACUAUUAGAAAGCCACAUAAGUUUCUAGGGGAUUAAUAAUAGCUGGAGCAAGUAGCUUUAAAGAAAGAAGGACGUGGAGACACAGCUCCUCAGCUCUGACUUGGUUAUUUUUUUAUUUUUUAUUUUUUUGACAGCGCUUGAGGAGUAAAAUUUGUGUUCAUGUUUCUGAGGUUCUGGUGAGUUUUCUGGCUUAUGAAUAAAAAAUUUUAAAAAACGGUGCUAGCGGCAAAUUGAUUUCAUUUAUUUUAUUUCACUUAUUAGCUGACAGGAACAAAACCACACAAACACAGAGCAGAACAAGUCCGCAACUGUAUCAGCACACCAGCUGCCGCUAACUUACAACUCCAGUCCUCCGGUUGGG